RNAcentral lists this unclassified non-coding RNA (506 nucleotides) under uncultured Glomus. Its description in RNAcentral is "SSU rRNA". It matches the Rfam family "Eukaryotic small subunit ribosomal RNA", at positions 569 to 1076 of the family's 1831-position model. The record is from RNAcentral. Lineage: Eukaryota; Fungi; Glomeromycota; Glomeromycetes; Glomerales; Glomeraceae.
AGCAGCCGCGGUAAUUCCAGCUCCAAUAGCGUAUAUUAAAGUUGUUGCAGUUAAAAAGCUCGUAGUUGAAUUUCGGGGUUAGCAGGUCGGUCGUGCCAUCGGUAUGAACUGGUCUCGCUGAUCCCUCCCUCUUGACGAACUGUGAUGCCAUUAAUUUGGUGUCGCAGGGAAUCAGGACUGUUACUUUGAAAAAAUUAGAGUGUUUAAAGCAGGCUCACGCUUGAAUACAUUAGCAUGGAAUAAUGAAAUAGGACGUUUGAUCCUAUUUUGUUGGCUUCUAGGAUUGACGUAAUGAUUAAUAGGGAUAGUUGGGGGCAUUAGUAUUCAAUUGUCAGAGGUGAAAUUCUUGGAUUUAUUGAAGACUAACUACUGCGAAAGCAUUUGCCAAGGAUGUUUUCAUUAAUCAAGAACGAAAGUUAGGGGAUCGAAGACGAUCAGAUACCGUCGUAGUCUUAACCAUAAACUAUGCCGACUAGGGAUCGGAUGAUGUUAAUUUUUUAAUGACU